GAGCGCGACCAUGGAGGCGGGGAUCGCCCGGUCCCAUUCCGAACCCGGAAGCUAAGCCCGCCAUCGCCGAAAGUACUGCGGGGCAGCCCGCGGGAGGACAGGGCGUCGCGCUCG
This is a ribosomal RNA of Coriobacteriaceae bacterium CHKCI002, 114 nucleotides long. The record is from Rfam. NCBI's taxonomy places the organism in Bacteria, Bacillati, Actinomycetota, Coriobacteriia, Coriobacteriales, Coriobacteriaceae.